RNAcentral lists this ribosomal RNA (253 nucleotides) under uncultured bacterium. Its description in RNAcentral is "partial 16S ribosomal RNA". It matches the Rfam family "Bacterial small subunit ribosomal RNA", at positions 524 to 776 of the family's 1533-position model. The record is from RNAcentral.
UACGAAUGGGGCAAGCGUUGUUCGGAAUCACUGGGCUUAAAGCGUACGCAGGCGGCCAUGCAAGUCAGAAGUGAAAUCCCUGGGCUUAACCCAGGAAUUGCUUUUGAAACUACGUGGCUAGAAUCCGGGAGAGGUUGGCGGAAUUCCGAGUGUAGCAGUGAAAUGCGCAGAUAUUCGGAGGAACACCAGUGGCGAAGGCGGCCAACUGGACCGGCAUUGACGCUCAUGUACGAAAGCGUGGGUAGCAAACAGG